Molecule: ribosomal RNA, 489 nt
Filed under: uncultured Bacillota bacterium
Lineage: Bacteria; Bacillati; Bacillota
Description: bacterial SSU rRNA
Rfam family: Bacterial small subunit ribosomal RNA
Source: RNAcentral
UAGGGAAUCUUCGGCAAUGGGCGAAAGCCUGACCGAGCAACGCCGCGUGAGCGAUGAAGGCCUUCGGGUCGUAAAGCUCUGUUGUUAGAGAAGAACAAGUACGAGAGUAACUGCUCGUACCUUGACGGUACCUAACCAGAAAGCCACGGCUAACUACGUGCCAGCAGCCGCGGUAAUACGUAGGUGGCAAGCGUUAUCCGGAAUUAUUGGGCGUAAAGCGCGCGCAGGCGGUCUCUUAAGUCUGAUGUGAAAGCCCACGGCUCAACCGUGGAGGGUCAUUGGAAACUGGGAGACUUGAGUGCAGGAGAGAAAAGUGGAAUUCCACGUGUAGCGGUGAAAUGCGUAGAGAUGUGGAGGAACACCAGUGGCGAAGGCGGCUUUUGGUCCUGUAACUGACGCUGAGGCGCGAAAGCGUGGGGAGCGAAACAGGAUUAGAUACCCUGGUAGUCCACGCCGUAAACGAUGAGUGCUAGGUGUUGGGGGGUUCCG